UCUGAGUCUUCACUUCUCGGGGAGCCAAUAAGCCAAAGAUGGGAAUAAAUAGUUAAAUGGGGUGCUCCUCAUGUUCCGUGUUGUAGCCACAAUGCAGAACUUUCUUGAAAGAGGAAGCAUUUAAGUGCAUCAGCUGAUUGGACUGAGAUGUCAAACGUGGAAAUAGGAACACAAGAAUAGAAAAGUCACCUUGCCAAGCUCUCCACACCCAGGAGAGAACUGAGAGGAAGAUUAUGCCUGAGCUAACAUCUGUGCCAAUCUUCCUCCAUUUCCUUUUUUUGGAUGUGGGAUGCCAUCACAGCAUAGCUUCAUGAGCAGUGUAUAAGUCCAUGCCUGUGAACCCUGGGCCAUCAAAGUGGAGUGUGCAAACUUAACCGCUAUGCCACCGGGCUGACCCGAGGUAAAAUUAUUCCUAAUCCUAUACUUCUGCCCCUUCCAUAGAGAAAUUCCCAUAGAAUCUUGGUGUAUUCUCUACUUUCUAUGUAGCUUUUUACAUUGUUGAGAUCAUGCUAUUUAUGUUAUUUCAUCAUUUUUUCUCACUUAAGAUUAUGUAAUUAGCAUUUCCUCAUGUCAUUGAAGUCAUUUAUAAACAAAUUUUAAUGGCUUCAUAAUGUUCUAUAUUGUGGGCAUUGUCCUGAGGUUGAUCAGUUAGGUUGUUUCUAGUUUUAUUAUUAUUUUUAAAAAUUUUUUAUAAGUGAUGCUGAGAUGAACAUUCACGUCCAUAUAUCUCUGUGAAUUUCAGAUUAUUUCCUUAAAAGGCAUUCCAAGAAGUGAAUUACUAAAUAAAAGAGUAUAAAUAGUUUUAAGACUCUUGAUACUGUUUUGGUCUUAAUUUUUCAAGCGUAUUUUAUGCUUAAUAUCACCAUUUUUUUCUCUUAAAGAGUAUACCCAUCUUAAUCAUGAGAAAACUCCAAGUGAAGAGAAUGGCUCUCAACUAUAAGGAUAGAAAAUUAGUAAGUGCAAAAAAUCUUAAGCUGUAUUUAUCAGAGGCCCUAUUCAAUGCACUGUGCUUGAAACAUUAAAAUAUAAUAGGAAAUUACUAGGACAAGCUGUGUGACUUUGAGUGAGUGCCACAGCCUGGCUGCACGCCAGUCUUCUCCUGUGUAAGGAGAGAAGCAGGAACCCAGUGGUUUAUACGCUCUUUGCAGUCCAGCUUUAGAUGAUUCUGUAUUCCUUCCCAGCAGCGUGUGGAUUAUAAGGUAACAUCUUAAGGGUACUUUGAAACAAUUUUGAGUUUGAAGUUUUCUUUGAAAUGGUGAUUGUUGGAAAUGCCGUCUUGGGGGAGUGGGGUGUUGCCAAAUGGAGUAUAGGUUGAGUUUGGAAUCAGACGGAAUUGGGUUUGAAUAGAAGCUUUGCUAAUUAUUAGUCAUGCGUGUCCUUAGGUCAAUUACUUAGAUCCACUGGUUUCUUCAACUGUGAAAGGGCUGAUAACAGAGCCUAUUUCACGGGGUGGUUGGGGCUUAGGUAGACAAGGCGCGUGACUAGCACACAGGAAGUUCUCAAGAACCUUCAUCAUGAGAACUGCUAAGUUUGGUGUGCCAGAAUGAGCUUUACUCCCAGGGCAGCAGGGGAAACUGAGGUUUGGAGAAGUUGCCUCUUGAGAAAAAUUAGACAGCAAGUUAGUAAGGAAGCCAGAAAUCAUCUGUGGUUUACUCGUCCCAGUUUCAUACUCCUUCAUCAUCACAUAAUUCAGGAAAAAGCUGAAUGAAGACAAAGAUUUCUAAUGGAAGUUUGGGUGACGAUAUCAUUGCUUUCCUAACCAUGACCCAACACCGACUGCCAGUAUUAUGUGUGUACAAUCAUAUUUUAUCCAAGUAAGAUGGGAGAGUCAUGAAUAGACGCCACUGACCAACACAGAUGAGGCCUACACUCUUCUACCUGGCGUCCAAGAUCUCCCUUAGCUUGGCCUCGGUCAACUUUUCCAUGCUCACUUCCCAUUACAACCCCUCACGGGCCCAAGGUUUCAACUAAAAUCCAUAGCACAUCAUUCUCUUAACACAGGGCUUUCACCAUGCCUCUGCUAGAGCUGCUGCCUCCUUCUAGAAGACCUGAACUCUGUGUCACCUGGUAGCUUACCCCCCAUUCUUCAAGGCUCAGCCCAAAUGUCAGUCCUUCCUGGGUGAAGCCAUCUCCUCUUCCCUAGACAUACUCACUGCUCCUGGCCCUGACUGAGUUACCAAGACACCUGUGUUUAUCCCCAUGUUACUUAAUGAGGCCGAUGUGAUUUAGCUCUGGGACAUGUGGGUGCGGGACAUUCUCCUCCUUUGGCAAUUCCUGCAUAACCUAGAGCGGAUCCAAUCUUCCCAAAGAUGGGCAAGGUUUGCUUCUGCCAGGCCUCGGAAACCCAGAGAGUCUGAACCUUAACACAAAUGCGUGGUUGUUUUUCUAAGGAGGGAGCAAGAAGGAAAAUGUUCUCUCUAAUAUUUUUUGUUCCGUUCAGCAGCAAAAGCAAAUAAGAAAUGAAUAUCUUAAAUAGGUCAUCAUGCCACAGUCAUGAUUUAUGUUUUUCUCCAUUGUUACAGUGGGAAUCCUUUUUUUUUUUUCAUCUUUGGAACCUGAAUACCUGUGGCAGGGGGUAUUAGUAUAUGCAUGGUGGCUGCUCUGUGGUUCGUUGAAAGCUCUGACAAUGAGUCACUCACUUACUGAAUGAUCAUUACUGAAUCCAGUAAGGUGCUAGGGGCUCAGGAGACACACCAGCCUUUUCAGCUGAACUCAGAUCCAGCAUAACAUUCAGCCUUUUCAACCCCAGAGAAGGUCACUGUAUGGGGUUGCCCCACAGAGGUCUCUGUAGUUCUUUGCGCCUGCAUUCCACACACUUCCCCUUUGUGUCCAUCUCACUGUAAGGUCCCGCCCUCUCCUUUCUGCCUGUCUGAGCUCCAUCAUGCUUAGACAGAUCCCUCUCUCUUCUUGAAGACUUCCGGCCCCACGUACACUCUCAGAUACACAGUCUCUUCUCUUUUCCUCUAGUGGGUUUGUGUUUGCAUGUCUUAUCUCCUCUGUAAGACUCUAAGUUCCUGCACCAGGGGUUCUCAUCUUCUUUUAAACUCUUCAGUGUACUUAGCAGAUUGCUAGGUACACAAUGGGCUCUUAAUAAAUAAUUCAUUCAUCGGUAUGGACAUUCUUCACAUUCCAACAGAUGAAAGCGCGAUCCUCUAAUCUUGCUACUCAAAGUGUGGUGUGGACUAGCUGCAUUGGCAUCUUCUGGGAGCUUGGUAGAGAUGCAGAAUUGCAGCCCUGCCCAGAUCUACUGACUCAGACUCUGCAUUUUAACAAGCUCCCCAGGGGACUCGUAUGCUUGAGAAGCACUGCACUAAAUGACACCAGUUGCCAGACUCUGGAUAUUUCCUUGCUCACUUGGUCCACUGUUUUUGCUCCCCAUAUAUCUGGCUCCUCCCACAUCCCCCGACCCCCUCUCCUUCCCCUCCCUAGUGCUUCACUUUAACCAUUUUCUCUCCAAUAUUCUCCAUUCUCUUAUUCCUCUAGUCUCUCUAUUCCUGUCUACAACACACCAGCAACUCACUUUCUCCCGUCUUUUCUUGUUCUUGGAGCCUCUAGCACCUACCAUGCGACAUAACAGGGCCUCCUGUUGUUGACUCAAUACAUGCCUUGCUCAUCAAACACCUAUGUGAGAGGUAUUUGGCACGAAAUCUGAGCUCAGUCUUCUCUUGAAUAGGUUAUAGCUCUUUUUGCCAUUUCUGUUUAUCAGCUCACUCCUAACUGAGCAGAAGUUAGGAAUUCAUUGGCCAGCCAACCAUGUGGGGUGGCAGUGAAAUUUGUGCUCUUCCUUUAUAGAUGCAGCUGCUAAAAAGAAUUUGAGAGCUAAGCAGUCUUCAUUAGUUAUGCCUAAACCUUCAAUUCAAAGAAAAGUGUGCCUCACUUUAAGACACCCAAACACAGAAAAUCAUACUUGCAAGAAGGAAUGCCAGGGUUUGCUUUAAACAAUAAUUCUUCCACUUAAAAGACCUUCGAAAGGUCUUUAAUCUAGUAAUCUUUAAAGUGACUUGAAAAAUUAUAUUUACUCACAUCUUGAUAAGAGCACAGGUGUCUUGAAAUGCAGAGGAGAUGUAUCUUCAGUUUGUGUUGCUGUUCUUUAUACAGAAUCUAGGAAAAAGCCGCUUUGGAGCCUGCAUUACAAAGAAAAUUACCCCCAUUCCCCAUCUCCAUAUUUUGUAGCAGGAACUAAGCAGUUAAGUUCUGCUUCUGAAUAUCAUAUUACCUUUUGACUCACUUUUUCUACCUGAGGCUUGAUUUACAAAGAUAAUUUUCUUUAGACAUUUUAAAAAGCGAUUGUUCAUAAAAAAAAAAAAAGAGAGAGAGAUAUUCGACAGAGUCUUAAUGCCAAGGGCCGACAAUAAUUGGGUGGUUUGAGUUCUCUUCAUUUUUCUUAAAUCUCUGAUUGCUUGCAUAAUAACUUUCUUCCUCAAUCAAUUAGUCUAACAAUUCACAUCAAUAUUUUAUUUUUAAUGGUUGACUACUCAUUUCAUUAAAAAUGUAAGUGCAUGAGCUCGAUGUAAAAUGAUUCCAUUGGGAUAGGCUUAUUUAAAUAUUCAUAACAUAAAAAUUAAUAAAUCUGAGCACAGUGUUUGCAUUUUAAAAAGUCAGGCUAUUGUCAGAUGUAUUUGGUCCUAGAUGAGAUUCACUAAAUUGAAAACCUUGAGCAUCAUCUUUUUAUUGAUUCUUCUUUACAGUAAAAUAAUGCAAUGGAAAUGCUACGAGGACAGUAUUACUACCCAAUAGCUCAUUGCUUCUCUCAGCUUCAUCCAUUUAUAACUAGCUUCCCUUCCUUCAGUCUUUCAUGCUACCUUCCACUCAUAUCCCCUGGAUUCUGACUACUCAGUCAGCCUGUCUGAAAUCAAAGAAGUUAAAUGCUGGGUGUGCAUAAUGUUUAUUUCCAUUUUAUUCACUCUUUCUACCCCACUCCCCAAUUAAGUCAAUGAAUCAUAAUAGUGAACAGCAAGAGCUCUUGGGAAACUGUCUUCAUUGGGUUCCUCCCAACUGGAGGAAGAGGCAGAGGCAUCUACAUCACAGGCUGUUUGUUGUAGGUUGAUUCAUGAGCAUACAUAGCCUUAGAACCAGCAAAUUGACAAAUCUACACCUUGAGUUAGGAGGUGGAAGAAUCCAACCAGCGCAGAGCAUCUCUGAUAAGUUACCAAAGACUUGAAAAUGCCACUCAGAAAUAAGGAUGCUGGGGUAGGUAAGGCCUGUCCUCCCCCAGGAACCCCCAGUAGCAUGGUUUGGGAUUACUAUUUUCUCAUAUUCCGCCCCAAAUCACUACCCUUAGUGAAGCUUGUCUGGAUUAGACAGAAAAGGCCUCUGCUACAAAUAUGAGGCCACCUGGAAGGAUGGAUCUCAGGGGGGGUGACAUUUUGCAGCCUUCUACAGUCUCUAUCCCCAGUAGUCUGGGUAAUGCUUGUGAACCGAGUUAUUGGGAAGAACAUGGAAUUUGGAGUCAGGAGAGCGACGUUCUAACCAUUAUCUACUAAAUCUCUAAGUUCUCUUCUAGUUCUAAAAAUAUGUAUAAAAAGAGUAGAUCUUUAAAGAGAAAACCCAGGGCUGGACUGCCAAAUAGGUGACAGAAAAGUGAUCCAAUUCUACCCCAUAGGGACUUAGGUCACACUCCUUCAUCUGGAGCCCAUAUAGAGCCUCAAAAUCCUUCUCUACCCACUCCUUUGGGCAACUUCUGCAAAACGCUCUGAAUCAGCCCCUGAGCUGAACCUUCUUUGCCAUCCCUGAAGGUGAGUGAUUAACUAGGAGAAAAAAUUCAUUUCCACUUGAGGAGGGCAGUCACAGCCUCCCAGGGCCUGCACAUCCACAAGGCAUCUGACUUGGGAGGUCAAACCCCAGGUUUGAGGCUGGAAAGAAAGAGAAGCCAUCAGAAUAGCCACGACAAGAUCCCCAAGUUGGUUUGAAAUGGUCUCUGAAGCCGAGCACACAGACACGUCUGUUUCAUUCUCAGAGACCUGGGGCUGUGUUUGCGAUUCCCGUCAUCCUUUCUAAAUUAAAUUCGUUUUCUGGGCUCAGUAAGGAAAGAAAAUACUCAAAUCCAUACACUAUAUUUAUUUGAUUUUACUGAAACUUAUAAAAUUCAAUUGUUUUAUGAUAAAUGAGCCACAUGUGGAAUCCAUACAUAGAGCAGAGAGACAGAUGGUGUAUAGUCUCUCCCUGCGUAUGUACACACAGGCGAUGAAUGCGUAAGAUAUACAAAGACCCGAAUGUUUAGAGAUUGUGUGUAUAAUACACACAGCUGAAAAAUCCUGUAGUCAUCUACUCCAGAGUUUCUCAAAGAGUGGUCUGUAAACCACGGGCAUCAGAGCCUCCCGGGGUGUCUGUUAAAAUGCAGAAUGGGGCUCCUACUUCAGACCUCCUGAAUCAUUCUCAUCCACCCCUCUUCCAAGACCAGUUCUGGGUUGGUGAUAUAUUACUGGUCAGCAGGGAGCCUCUUGAAGCAACAAAUGUCAUCUGUGACUCUGAGGACCUAGUAUGUGCUUCUGGGCAUGGCUGCAUUUCAUAGGCAAGUGUAAAUGCAUUUAGGAGUUAUCAGUGAUUUUAACAUUCUCUUUAUCCCUCCUUUCCUUUAGCAGCUAGUCGUGGCUUCAAUUGUUUGUGCUGCUUUUCUUCAUUAGUCCUUCCUUCUGGGUUUGUAGCACAUUAUGCUUAGUUAUGGUGAAGUUUCCAGAACCAUCUCUCGGUUCAUCUGGACUUGCUUCUUCCCCCUAAAUCAUCAUGGCUCCUUUGCAGUUUCCUGGCCCUGCCCUUGACACAAUUAAAAGCUCCUGAUUUUCUGAAAUCCAAACAUUAAAUGGGCAGAAUGAGCCACAGUAAAAAUGAACAAUAGCAACGCUGCCUAUUUAUACCCUCUCCCUUCACCUGGAGGCAGUCCGCAAAUUUAAGCCAACGUGGUUAAGCGGGAAUACAGUGGGUCUCUUCAUCGUUACAGAAAAGCAGGAGUGAAUUGUGGAACCCGCUUAGUUGCGUGAAAAUCACUACCCAAGGGUGCCAGCCCCGUGGCCGGGUGGUUAGGUUUGUGCGCUCUGCUGCAGGCGGCCCAGGGUUUCGUCGGUUCGAAUCCUGGGCGCGGACAUGACACCGCUCAUUGAGUCACGCUGAGGCGGUGUCUCACAUCCCACAACCGGAAGGACCCACAACUAAGAAUAUACAACUGUGUACCAGGGGGCUUUGGGGAGAAAAAAGGAAAAAAAAAUCACUACCCAAGCGGUAUGGAUAGUAACUAAGUAAUACACCACAAGGGACAGAAACCGAAGGAAGAAUUUCAGAAGUUAAACGCACUAAAGGUCUCAGCUUGGCCAGGGCUCCGAGUGCAGAGCCUGACUUUGUAGCUUCCAGUGGCGGCUGUAGGUGAUGAAGGACUGAGAGGUCAGAGAGCCUUCUAGCAUUAGUGCAGGACCAAAGGUGGAAGGUUGCUAUUCUCCAGGAAUUACCUGGAUCAUCCUGCACAAUCAGGAUGGGCUGACGGCCUAUACACGAAACAGUCGGCGGCCACAGGAUUCGAAACGCCAAGCCAAGCUCCUGAAAAUGCUGAUCUUCCGACACGCUGUGCGGUGGAGAGCGAUUUUCUCCGGGAGAGCUCAUUUUUCCUUAGCAUAGGCAUCCUCUGCGCUGUCCUUUGGGAAAAGAGCUGUUGUCAAAAUUUCUGCUAAGGGAAGAAUCUUGCAGAUUUUAUUACACUACAAAUUGUUACAUGCCAGCCUCGAGUAAGAAUUUAUCGCAGCUCUUCUGUAGGAUUAAGGAGUUAGAGAUACAGGGUAACUUGUGGUGGCGGCCGAGAGAAAGCUGUGCAGCUGGAGAUGCUGAGCCUCUGCUUUCCCAGGACUGCCUUGGUGGACAGGGAAAAGAGUCGAUGAGAGUGCAAGCCCUGAUUUGAGCUGGGUGGGUGGCAUAUGUGGAAAAAGGGGCCAGUGGACCUACAGUGAUAACUGGGAAAGAAACAAGGCGAUCAUAAGCCCCUCAAAUGAGGAAGAUAACAGUUAUUAAGCACUUUCCAUGUGCCACUUACUGUGAUAACAGUUUUUAAAAACUAUGACUACUAAUUAUAAUAAUAACAUAUAAGCAUCUAAUAUCAUCUGGUAUCAUCCCCACAAGAAGCCCAUGAGGUUCCCACGACAAUCUCUGUUAUACAGACAAGGAAACUGCAGGUUAGGGAAUAAAGUCUCUUGGUCAAGGUCACGUGGUCUGAUUCCAAAAGACCCUGCUCUUCUGUUCUAUGUGCCUUGUGUUGGAUGAUGGCGCUGAAGGGUCGCGAUAGCUCUGUGUGACGGGUUUACUCUGCCUCUCCAUAUUAUAGAUGAGGAAAUGGAGGCCUACAGAACUCAGGCGUGGUGUUGCCUGGAGGGACACCUCGUAAGUGACAGCUCUGGGAAUCAGGUCCAGGUUUAUCUGAUGCUGAAGGCUGCUCCUCGAUAGGUGAGAGUAGAGAGGCUGGGGAGGGCAACCUUCAGAGCAGCAACGGACAUUGGCUGAGACUUGUGUGGGUCAGAUCCUAAUACAGGCCUUGAUGUGCCACCUCAGUCUGGAGCUGACAUCGCCCGAACCCUGAAUACAAUUGUGCAGACAGGACUCUCAAACCUUAAAGCAGAGGAUACAUUUAGACAGAACAGAACUGAGUGACAGAACAGAACUGAGUGACAAAACGCAUGGCUCAGACAAUACAGGGUGGUCAGGAAGGGCAGAAGAAAUCGGUGUGAACCCAAACGGUUGGGGAAACUCUCGUGGAGGAGGGGAUUUGAGACGCAUAGAAAAUAUGGUGGAAUUUGGAGAAGCAAAAAUUAUUUAAUGUGCAUCUUUUUAUCCGAUACCUCCAAAUGUUCUCAAUGUGCUAGACAUGAUGGAGGAGGCUGAAGAAAUGUGAAAUACAUUUUGUAGUCUGAAAUGGCUUAGAGUCUAGUUGGUGAAGUAGAACACACAGGAAGUGACAGAGAUCAAUACUAGCCAAUAUCCAAUUAAGGGCUAAAUUAUGUUCCAUUAUCUCUAAGUACUGUAGAGUUUCAGAGGACCAGAGAUCAGUAAGGGGGAGGAUGGUCAGGAAAGGCUUCUUGAAGGAAGUGGGACUUGCAGGGGAUGCAGUGGCCGGAUGCGGGGUAUAACAUCGGUAAAUGCACGCAACGGUAGAAGAACAUGAUGUGUUCACGGGUUGGUGAGCAGUGGAGCCGGUAGGGAUGAUGGCAAGCCUCAGUAUACUUGGAGGCUGGGAUGAACUGAGUCCCUCAGAGCCACCCAAAUCAUUUGGAUUCAGGUUGCUACCCUGUGAGUUAAACUGUAAAACUUCCACACAGAGGAUCAAAGCAAGAGGUGCGAAUCAUCUAAGAGACUGCCUCCAGCCCUGCAGGAGUCAGGAAUAACGGGGACUUAGAAAUGUUGCUUAUCCAUCUCUAAGGAAAGAAUAUGCCCAUCAGAUAAAGGGAUAGUCGAUCACAGAGCUGGGAACAUCGCGGGGUGAGUGUCCACUAUGCCUGUCUCAGCAAUGUCCAGAGAGAACGUGUCCCAACCCUGGUUGUCCUCCUGAGUGGCUGGUUUAGUUCUCAUUUGUAAUUACUGCAGCCUCUGUGAGCAUGGCUACGGUGGGUCCUUCCCCAAGAGAGGCCUCUAUCCUCCUCACAAAUGAGGUGGCCAAACCUCUGAAACUGGUGAUGGAGCCCAGCCUGUGGCAAAACCUCCCCAUAAGGCCACUCUAUGGGGACAUGCUGGUCUGCCACUUAGCUCCCCUGCAUGACCCCAGGGCUGUUGCAUAUGCCUCUCUGGUUGGGCACAACUCCAAGGGUGAUGACUUAGAUCCAUGCACAAGUGCACCUGGUAACCCUGUGGGGCCCGUUAAAUGAGUUUCCAUUUGAACUUCAAUAAAUAUAUCCUGAAGGCCCUCAGCAAUUCUCAGGGCUGGGGAGCAUGGAGAACUAAGUCGGAGCCCUUUUCUGGGCCCCCUUGGGCUCUGGCAGCUGAAGGAGUGUAGUCACUGGCAUCAGGAGCCACAUAUUAACAGGGAGUAAACUUCCCUUCACCACCCUCUUCGGGGAAAACAUUCGGCAUUCACCUCCUAUCUUUAACAG
RNAcentral lists this long non-coding RNA (10058 nucleotides) under Equus caballus (horse). Its description in RNAcentral is "lncRNA (ENSECAG00000051367.1)". Lineage: Eukaryota; Metazoa; Chordata; Mammalia; Perissodactyla; Equidae. The record is from RNAcentral.